ACUCCUACGGGAGGCAGCAGUGGGGAAUAUUGCACAAUGGGCGCAAGCCUGAUGCAGCCAUGCCGCGUGUAUGAAGAAGGCCUUCGGGUUGUAAAGUACUUUUCAGCAGUGAGGAAGGUGGGUAUGUUAAUAGCAUAUUCAUUUGACGUUAGCUGCAGAAGAAGCACCGGCUAACUCCGUGCCAGCAGCCGCGGUAAUACGGAGGGUGCGAGCGUUAAUCGGAAUUACUGGGCGUAAAGCGCAUGCAGGUGGUUUGUUAAGUCAGAUGUGAAAGCCCGGGGCUCAACCUCGGAAUUGCAUUUGAAACUGGCAAACUAGAGUACUGUAGAGGGGGGUAGAAUUUCAGGUGUAGCGGUGAAAUGCGUAGAGAUCUGAAGGAAUACCGGUGGCGAAGGCGGCCCCCUGGACAGAUACUGACACUCAGAUGCGAAAGCGUGGGGAGCAAACAGGAUUAGAUCCCCUGGUAGGCUCUG
RNAcentral lists this ribosomal RNA (473 nucleotides) under uncultured bacterium. RNAcentral's name for it is "bacterial SSU rRNA". It matches the Rfam family "Bacterial small subunit ribosomal RNA", at positions 335 to 799 of the family's 1533-position model. The record is from RNAcentral.